This 440-nucleotide ribosomal RNA is filed under the name uncultured bacterium. Its description in RNAcentral is "partial 16S ribosomal RNA". It matches the Rfam family "Bacterial small subunit ribosomal RNA", at positions 338 to 795 of the family's 1533-position model. The record is from RNAcentral.
CCUACGGGGGGCAGCAGUGGGGAAUAUUGCACAAUGGGGGAAACCCUGAUGCAGCGACGCCGCGUGAGUGAAGAAGUAUUACGGUAUGUAAAGCUCUAUCAGCAGGGAAGAAAAUGACGGUACCUGAUUAAGAAGCCCCGGCUAUCUACGUGCCAGCAGUCGCGGUACUACGUAGGGGGCAAGCGUUAUCCGGAUUUACUGGGUGUGAAGGGAGCGUAGACGGCAGUACAAGUCUGGAGUGAAAUGCCGGGGCUUAACCCCGGAACUGCUUUUGAAACUGUGCAGCUAGAGUGCAGGAGAGGUGAGUGGAAUGCCUAGUGUAGCGGUGAAAUGCGUAGAUAUUAGGAGGAACACCAGUGGCGAAGGCGGCUUACUGGACUGUAACUGACGUUGAGGCUCGAAAGCGUGGGGAGCAAACAGGAUUAGAUACCCCAGUAGUC